This 484-nucleotide ribosomal RNA is filed under the name uncultured bacterium. RNAcentral describes it as "partial 16S ribosomal RNA". It matches the Rfam family "Bacterial small subunit ribosomal RNA", at positions 29 to 507 of the family's 1533-position model. The record is from RNAcentral.
AUUGAACGCUGGCGGCAUGCUUUACACAUGCAAGUCGAACGGCAGCGCGGGCUUCGGCCUGGCGGCGAGUGGCGAACGGGUGAGUAAUACAUCGGAACGUGCCCAGUAGUGGGGGAUAGCUCGGCGAAAGCCGGAUUAAUACCGCAUACGACCUGCGGGUGAAAGCGGGGGGUCUUCGGACCUCGCGCUAUUGGAGCGGCCGAUGGCAGAUUAGCUAGUUGGUGGGGUAAAGGCCUACCAAGGCGAGGAUCUGUAGCUGGUCUGAGAGGACGACCAGCCACACUGGGACUGAGACACGGCCCAGACUCCUGCGGGAGGCAGCAGUGGGGAAUGUUGGACAAUGGGCGAAAGCCUGAUCCAGCAAUGCCGCGUGUGUGAUGAAGGCCUUCGGGUUGUAAAGCACUUUUGGCGGGAACGAAAAGGACUGUGCCAAUACCACGGUUCGAUGACGGUACCCGCAGAAUAAGCACCGGCUAACUACGUG